RNAcentral lists this ribosomal RNA (312 nucleotides) under Triticum aestivum (bread wheat). RNAcentral describes it as "partial small subunit ribosomal RNA". The record is from RNAcentral. Lineage: Eukaryota; Viridiplantae; Streptophyta; Magnoliopsida; Poales; Poaceae.
UUCGCGCCGGCUGCGGGUGGGUCGCAAUUUUGGCAUCAACUGGUUAAAGUCCGGCCGAUCUUUCAGUCCCUUGUAAAAUUUGUAGUUAGGAACGGUAAGUCUACGCGAUUUUGGCUUGAUUGGUGGGUCGGGGACUCCACGCAGGCUGUUGCUUUUCCGGUUCUAUUUUCAUAUUGCGAUGAUACUGAGGUUUCUAUCUUUGAGCUCUCGGCUAGGGGUUGGGUUCUGGAUUUUCGUCGUUCUCUUUCUCCUGAAGAGUUGGAAGAUUGGCAGCGCCUUACUGCUUGCUUCCCCCUGCUCUCGGAGGAAGAG